RNAcentral lists this ribosomal RNA (274 nucleotides) under uncultured bacterium. Its description in RNAcentral is "partial 16S ribosomal RNA". It matches the Rfam family "Archaeal small subunit ribosomal RNA", at positions 473 to 747 of the family's 1478-position model. The record is from RNAcentral.
AAACCAGCACCUCAAGUGGUCAGGAUGAUUAUUGGGCCUAAAGCAUCCGUAGCCGGCUCUGUAAGUUUUCGGUUAAAUCUGUACGCUCAACGUACAGGCCGCCGGAAAUACUGCAGAGCUAGGGAGUGGGAGAGGUAGACGGUACUCGGGAGGAAGUGGUAAAAUGCUUUGAUCUCUCGAUGACCACCUGUGGCGAAGGCGGUCUACCAGAACACGUCCGACGGUGAGGGAUGAAAGCUGGGGGAGCAAACCGGAUUAGAUACCCGAGUAGUCC